This 253-nucleotide ribosomal RNA is filed under the name uncultured bacterium. RNAcentral's name for it is "partial 16S ribosomal RNA". It matches the Rfam family "Bacterial small subunit ribosomal RNA", at positions 524 to 776 of the family's 1533-position model. The record is from RNAcentral.
UACGGGGGGAGCUAGUGUUGUUCGGAUUUAUUGGGCGUAAAGGGAGUGUAGGCGGGGGCCUAAGUCAGGGGUGAAAAUUCAAAGCUCAACUUUGAACUUGCCUUUGAUACUGGGUUCCUUGAGUAUGGAAGAGGGCGAUGGAAUUCCUGGUGUAGCGGUGGAAUGCGUAGAUAUCGGGAGGAACACCAGUGGCGAAGGCGGCCACCUGGACGGCUACUGACGCUGAGACGCGAAAGCGUGGGGAGCAAACAGG